This 85-nucleotide transfer RNA is filed under the name Felis catus (domestic cat). It matches the Rfam family "tRNA". From Rfam's summary of the family: Transfer RNA (tRNA) molecules are approximately 80 nucleotides in length. Their secondary structure includes four short double-helical elements and three loops (D, anti-codon, and T loops). RNAcentral also lists the same sequence under 4 other names. The record is from Rfam by way of RNAcentral. Lineage: Eukaryota; Metazoa; Chordata; Mammalia; Carnivora; Felidae.
GCCUGGGUGGCUUAGUCGGUUAAGCAUCUGACUUUGGCUCAGGUAAUGAUCUCAAGGUUCAUGAGUUCGAGCCCCAUGUCAGGCU